ACACUUGCCUGCCAGAGGAGACACUAUGAUCACUAAGACUUCCCCAUGGCAGGGUUGAUUUAUUGCACUCCGAUGUGCUGACCCCUGCGAUUUCCUCAAAUGUGGGAAACUCAAUUGCAUAAUUUGUGGAAGUAAAGGAUUGUGUUUUUGCAUUCA
This is a small nuclear RNA of Chlorocebus sabaeus (green monkey), 156 nucleotides long. Its record names the gene U1. It matches the Rfam family "U1 spliceosomal RNA". From Rfam's summary of the family: U1 is a small nuclear RNA (snRNA) component of the spliceosome (involved in pre-mRNA splicing). Its 5' end forms complementary base pairs with the 5' splice junction, thus defining the 5' donor site of an intron. Lineage: Eukaryota; Metazoa; Chordata; Mammalia; Primates; Cercopithecidae. The record is from Ensembl.